Long non-coding RNA from Cyphomyrmex costatus, 330 nucleotides. RefSeq lists it as uncharacterized. NCBI's taxonomy places the organism in Eukaryota, Metazoa, Arthropoda, Insecta, Hymenoptera, Formicidae. The record is from RefSeq and is a predicted model, not a curated record. The transcript is spliced from 3 exons.
UUCAAACGCUCUUUUACGGGUCGAAGUUGCAGAUUGUUAUAAAAAAAAUUCCUCCCACAGUUGCCAAAAAAUUCUAUUCGUUUAAUUUUUAUACGUUUCAUAUUGUUCGGUUACCAUCGAUCUUUCAUCGUACUGUUAUAUAUGCGCUCGUAUCGUACAUUGUAAAAUUUGUGACCACUGCAAUUCCACGUUAUCCGCAUUAGAAUCAGAAACGUCAUAAUUAUGGAAAAUGCUAAAAAAACUAUCAGACAAAGAAAAAGGGAACUAGAAAACAAUAUUGAAAAUGAAUUAUCAGACAAUGUCGAGGUGCAAGAAAAGAAGGAAGAACCA